Molecule: non-coding RNA, 276 nt
Organism: Pelobates cultripes (western spadefoot toad)
Lineage: Eukaryota; Metazoa; Chordata; Amphibia; Anura; Pelobatidae
Source: the annotation of a GenBank genome assembly
CUGUUUAAUGAGUGCUACCUGCCCAGUAUUUAUGCAGGUCUCCCACCUGGUGGACACUCCCCUAGGCGACCAAAUGGGAGACUGUGACAAAGGACAGACAAGUAGACAAUUAGGACACACAGUCACAUUAUAUUCCCACAAUGCAUCCUGGCUUCCUCCCCUCUGCCUUCGAGAUAAUUGAGAAGUAAUUCAAUUAUCUCCCAAGACAAAGGCAAAUCGCCAUUAUGCACGUGGGGAUACUAACACACGAAUUACUAUUAAAAUACACUAUGUGAG